Long non-coding RNA from Entelurus aequoreus (snake pipefish), 1994 nucleotides. RefSeq lists it as uncharacterized. NCBI's taxonomy places the organism in Eukaryota, Metazoa, Chordata, Actinopteri, Syngnathiformes, Syngnathidae. The record is from RefSeq and is a predicted model, not a curated record. The transcript has 4 exons.
AUUUUGGGUGAGAGAGGGUUACACGCUGCACCGGUCGCCAGCCAAUUGCAGAAAAAACACUGCAAAAUUUAGAGUCUGCAGUUAACACACUCAAAAAAAUGGAAAAGGGGGGUCUUUAAAUUUACAAAAGUGAACACAAGUCAUUUAUAUCUUGAUUAAACAAGUAGACUUAACAUGUUUAUAAUGAAUGGUGAAUGUACUCGAUACUUUCACAAUGAGUGAAGUUAAUCCAAAAAAAACAAAAACUCAAUGUAAUCUUGCUUUGCUGUCGCCGUAAGUUCCGCCCCUUGGAAUAGGAAGAGGCGGCAGAAGUUUGAGCACAGAAACGAGGAAGAAGAAGAGUUUAAGCAGGAAGCCCGCAUGAUUUGCCAUUACGCGCGAAGAAGAAGAAGAUCAGGAACAACCUUGAAUGGGCUGUGUUUUUCAGCAAGAAGCCACCUGACACCUAUCUUUAGAACACUGAAAAUGAGGAGAGCCUGGAAUCCAUGCAAAAAGCUUUACUCCUGGAUGUACACAAUAGGAAUAACCGAGAGGCUGUGAAGUUCAAGAUGGAAAAGACUUUAGCAUAUCAAAGACAUGAGGUUGUCUGUGAGUCCUUGAAGGCCUGCUUUGUAUAAAGUCAGCGAGAUCAAUUCUGAAUUCAAAAGGAUCACCGCUUCCGUCCAAGUUCCUGUCUCAGGUGGAUCUUUACUCAGCUGCGAUGACGUAGCUCUUCCGAAGGAGAGGACAGCAAGGGGCAAAGCUUAAACGAAUCACUGCAGAAUUAACUAAUAGUCUGGCUAUGAGCAAACUGGAUGGGGCCAUUGAAAACAUAGCAGUUGGAAUCUACGUUGUUAAACAAGCUUCAACUAACGAAGUAGAGGACAUUGGCAUCGUUCUUGAGGAUAUUCAAGGUUUUGGACAAUUUGAAUAAUGUAGUAUCAUUGGCUGUUGCUACGCUGUUUGGACUUAGGCAUGCCGUGAACCUCAGCUACCCUCCUGACCUCAGCUACACUUUUGAGGUAAUCCAAAACAUUUGGAUGGAGCCGGAUGAAUAAACGAAGCACUCGUCUCAAAAAAUAGGGUCUUUCUUUGAUGUGCGGGGGCAUGUGCGUGUGCAUGUGUCUGACAAAUCAAAUAGAUUUGCUGUUAUUUUAAAUGGUUUUUCAGGGUUAACCAUCCAUCCAUCUAUUUUCUACCGCCUGUCUUUCUCGUGGUUGACCUUCGUUUUGUUAGAAAAGUUGUAACACUACUGCCUUUUAUUUGCGGAACUGUGCACACAGUCUGGAUAUGAACACACUCGAUGGGGCCAUUGAAAACACCACAGUUGGAAUAGUUGAACAGGCUUCAAUUAAUGAAGUAGAGGACUUUGGCAUUGUUCUUAAAGGGGAAUUGCAGUUUUUUGGGGAAUGUUACCUAUCGUUCACAACCCUUAUGUAAGACAAGAAGACACGUUUUUUGGGGGGCGGGGAUUACAUUCUAAUUUGUAGGUGGCUCGCAAUACUGCUAAUGGAAGCAAUUAAUUCUGCCUCAUGCAAGCUUGGUUCUAUAAACAGCAGUUCAUCCUACGUAUAUUCAGGUUCAAAAAGAUAAUGUUGUGAAUCCUUCAAAUUGGCUAAAAUUGAUUUAAAUAUUUAGCUAAUCUUACUUUUUUUUUUCCCUCUAAUUCCCCAGCCAUAAACCUUAGUCAUAUAACUUGGUAUGUGACACAUGGUAACUGUUAGUAUGCUAACGUUAACAUGCUAGCAUGCUGAUACUUGGCCCCAUCUUGAAAGUAUGCCAACAUCUCAUAUUAGCAUGCAAAUGUUAGCGUGUUAACGUUUUAGGCUAACUCAGUAGCUCAUUUUGUACUCUUACACCUAAAACUCACGGAUUUGGACACUCUGCACCAUCUUAAAAGUAUGGCGGCUUUCACCGACCCUUGGCUAGAGGUUCAGGGCACAAAUAGCCGGCCCAUCAAAAUUUUUGGCUACAAUUUGUGUCGUUUCUCAUUCUAUUAUUUUGUCAAAAACAAU